UCGUCUUCUUCAUAUGACGUCUGAACUUUCCCUCUCCAUCUCCAUUUCUCUCAUCUAUUCUUUUCACUUUAUUCUCUGUUCCGUUUUAUUUCCGGCAAAAUACGGAGACUUGUGGUGGAGAUCCACCGCUCGGGUUCAACCCGGGGCUCCGUGGGAUCGAAAUUAAAGGAGAGUUGCGCCGGACCUCGGAGGUCCACGAAUGAAGUUUCCAGCAGUGCUUGUCGGACUACGGUGGUAUUGGUCGACCCCACUCGAUCCACCUGGGUCCAUCAUUGUUAUCAGAUAUUAAGAUUUAUGAGGUCAAGCAAAGACUUACUGGAGCACCAUGUGGGGAAGGGCCAGUUUGAAUGGUCUAGCCAAUUUCCUCUUGAUUUUCAGAGCAGUUUGCAUCAUUCAAUGAAUUUUCCUUUGUACAUAACACGUUGUUCUGUAUGUUAUUCAGAUCAUCUUAGAAAAUAAUCACUAAUAUGAGUUUUCCAUUUGAGAGAA
This is a non-coding RNA of Salvia hispanica, 489 nucleotides long. The record is from RefSeq and is a predicted model, not a curated record. Lineage: Eukaryota; Viridiplantae; Streptophyta; Magnoliopsida; Lamiales; Lamiaceae.